AGGAUUAACGCUGGCGGCGUGCCUAACACAUGCAAGUCGAACGAGGUAGCAAUACCUAGUGGCAGACGGGUGAGUAACGCGUGGUCAACCUACCGUUGAGUGGGGGAUAACUAGCCGAAAGGUUAGCUAAUACCGCAUACGAGUCUCGGGGGCAUCCCUGGGCCUUAAAAGGAGCAAUCCGCUCGAUGACGGGACCGCGUCCCAUUAGCUAGAUGGUGGGGUAAUGGCCUACCAUGGCUCCGAUGGGUAGCUGGUUUGAGAGAGCGACCAGCCACACUGGGACUGAGAAACGGCCCAGACUCCUACGGGAGGCAGCAGUGAGGAAUUUUCCGCAAUGGGCGAAAGCCUGACGGAGCGACGCCGCGUGUGGGAAGAAGGCCUUCGGGUCGUAAACCACUGUCGAAGGGGACGAAAAGCUCAGGGUUAACACCUCUGGGUCUUGACCUAACCCACAGAAAAGCACCGGCUAACUCUGCGCCAGCAGCCGCGGUAA
Molecule: ribosomal RNA, 493 nt
Filed under: uncultured bacterium
Lineage: Bacteria
Description: SSU rRNA
Rfam family: Bacterial small subunit ribosomal RNA
Source: RNAcentral